This 332-nucleotide unclassified non-coding RNA is filed under the name uncultured Mortierella. Its description in RNAcentral is "sequence contains ITS2". Lineage: Eukaryota; Fungi; Mortierellomycota; Mortierellomycetes; Mortierellales; Mortierellaceae. The record is from RNAcentral.
AACGCACAUUGCGCUCUCUGGUAUUCCGGAGAGCAUGCUUGUUUGAGUAUCAGUAAAACACCCUCAGAUUUUUCUCUUUUGAAAAAGCUGGACUUGAGUGAUCCCAACGGUUUUUUUUAAAAAAAGCUGGCGGGUUGCUUGAAAUGCAGGUGCGGCUGGACACAUCUUCUGAGCUAUAAGCAUUACCUAUUUAGUCCCGUCAAACGGAUUAUUUCUAUUGCUACAGCUAAUAUAAAGGUCGAUUGUCCUUGUGCCCGACUGAUGCAGGAAAACAUGGAGAAAUCCUUGUUCAACUCGAUCUCAAAUCAAGUAAGACUACCCGCUGAACUUAA